Molecule: long non-coding RNA, 97 nt
Organism: Etheostoma cragini (Arkansas darter)
Lineage: Eukaryota; Metazoa; Chordata; Actinopteri; Perciformes; Percidae
Exons: 3
Source: RefSeq, a predicted model, not a curated record
ACAGAAAGAAGUUGUAUACGACUAAUUUAGGGAGACAUAAACAACACAUAAGUGCUAAUAACUGUAUGUUACUAAAGCUUUCACAGCUGUUGAUGCA